This 492-nucleotide ribosomal RNA is filed under the name uncultured bacterium. Its description in RNAcentral is "partial 16S ribosomal RNA". It matches the Rfam family "Bacterial small subunit ribosomal RNA", at positions 29 to 507 of the family's 1533-position model. The record is from RNAcentral.
AGUGAACGCUGGCGGUAGGCCUAACACAUGCAAGUCGAACGGCAGCACAGUAAGAGCUUGCUCUUACGGGUGGCGAGUGGCGGACGGGGGAGGAAUACAUCGGAAGCUACUUUUUCGUGGGGGAUAACGUAGGGAAACUUACGCUAAUACCGCAUACGACCUACGGGUGAAAGCAGGGGAUCUUCGGACCUUGCGCGAUUGAAUGAGCCGAUGUCGGAUUAGCUAGUUGGCGGGGUAAAGGCCCACCAAGGCGACGAUCCGGAGCUGGUCUGAGAGGAUGAUGAGCCACAGUGGAACUGAGACACGGUCCAGACCCCUACGGGAGGCAGCAGUGGGGAAUAUUGGACAAUGGGCGCAAGCCUGAUCCAGACAUACCGCGUGGGUGAAGAAGGCCUUCGGGUUGUAAAGCCCUUUUGUUGGGAAAGAAAAGCAGCAGGUUAAUAUCCCGCUGUUCUGACGGUACCCAAAGAAUAAGCACCGGCUAACUUCGUG